AUUGAACGCUGGCGGCAGGCUUAACACAUGCAAGUCGAGCGGGGUGAUGGUGCUUGCACUAUCACUUAGCGGCGGACGGGUGGGUAAUGCUUAGGAAUCUGCCUAUUAGUGGGGGACAACGUCUCGAAAGGGAUGCUAAUACCGCAUACGUCCUACGGGAGAAAGCAGGGGAUCACUUGUGACCUUGCGCUAAUAGAUGAGCCUGAGUCUGAUUAGCUAGUUGGUGGGGUAAAGGCCUACCAAGGCGACGAUCUGUAGCGGGUCUGAGAGGAUGAGCCGCCACACUGGGACUGAGACACGGCCAAGACUCCUACGGGAGGCAGCAGUGGGGAAUAUUGGACAAUGGGGGGAACCCUGAUCCAGCCAUGCCGCGUGUGUGAAGAAGGCCUUAUGGUUGUAAAGCACUUUAAGCGAGGAGGAGGCUCUUUUGGUUAAUACCCAAGAUGAGUGGACGUUACUCGCAGAAUAAGCACCGGCUAACUCUGUGCCAGCCGCCGCGGUAA
This 503-nucleotide ribosomal RNA is filed under the name uncultured bacterium. RNAcentral's name for it is "partial 16S ribosomal RNA". It matches the Rfam family "Bacterial small subunit ribosomal RNA", at positions 30 to 523 of the family's 1533-position model. The record is from RNAcentral.